AAAUGAUUUAAACUCGUCAGCACCCAGCAGUUUCUGGCAAAUAGCAGGUGCUUGGUAGUUGGUGAUUUCUUCCCAUUCCCCUCCCUUUACAUGGAAGCCUGCCUGGCCCGGGUAUCUUUGUGAACAAGAGCCAGAGGAGAAUUUCCUGAGGUAUUUCUGUCUUCCAGUGGUCUGGGAAAUCCAGCCUCGAGUUUCCUUGCUGGUCACCUGCGAGUGUGUCCUGAGGCCACAGGCCUUCCUGGGCAAAGCUGGCUCUUGCUCCCGCUCCCCUGACGUUUCACGAUCGCUCCCAGAACACUCCUGCCUGUCUGCUGGGCGGCUCCUGGCCUUCACUGCACUGAGGAGUGGUGAGAGCCGAGCCCAUCGCGGUGCCACGGGGCGGGGGCCCAGGGCACUGGGCUGGACGCCCGCUGUGCUGCCUCCCCACGCACGGAGCUGGCAGGGCCCACGGCUCUUAGGCUGCGCGUCCACGGCUGUGGCGCGGUGGCAGUGACCCUCAUCCUGAGCCCUGUGGAGUUCCCCAGGUGCUGGGCAGAGGGAGUG
Molecule: long non-coding RNA, 543 nt
Filed under: Dasypus novemcinctus (nine-banded armadillo)
Lineage: Eukaryota; Metazoa; Chordata; Mammalia; Cingulata; Dasypodidae
Description: lncRNA (ENSDNOG00000050444.1)
Source: RNAcentral